RNAcentral lists this unclassified non-coding RNA (21 nucleotides) under synthetic construct. The record is from RNAcentral.
GGGUAAAUACAUUCUUCAUUU